RNAcentral lists this ribosomal RNA (501 nucleotides) under uncultured Glomeromycotina. RNAcentral describes it as "partial small subunit ribosomal RNA". It matches the Rfam family "Eukaryotic small subunit ribosomal RNA", at positions 591 to 1092 of the family's 1831-position model. Lineage: Eukaryota; Fungi; Glomeromycota. The record is from RNAcentral.
CCAAUAGCGUAUAUUAAAGUUGUUGCAGUUAAAAAGCUCGUAGUUGAACCUUAGGCCCGUGCGGGCGGUCCGUCCUCAGGGCGAGCACUGCCUCGUCGCGGGUCUCACCUUCUGGCGAGCGUGGAUGCCAUUCACUUGGUGUCUUCGGGAACCAGGACCUUUACCUUGAAAAAAUUAGAGUGCUCAAAGCGGGCUCGUACGCUUGAAUACAUUAGCAUGGAAUAAUGAAAUAGGACGACGGUUCUAUUUUGUUGGUUUCCGGGAUUGUCGUAAUGAUUAAUAGGGAUAGUUGGGGGCAUUCGUAUUCAAUUGUCAGAGGUGAAAUUCUUGGAUUUAUUGAAGACGGACUACUGCGAAAGCAUUUGCCAAGGAUGUUUUCAUUAAUCAAGAACGAAAGUUGGGGGAUCGAAGACGAUCAGAUACCGUCGUAGUCUCAACCAUAAACUAUGCCGACUGGGAAUCGGGCGAUGUUAUUUUUCGUGACUCGCUCGGCGCCCCGAG